GGUACUUAGUUCAUAAGGUGGCUGCGAGGAUUACGUGAAACUCAAGACAACUAGUGCCUAGUAUCCCGGAGAUACUGAACAGCUGGUAAGAUCUUUCCUGACCACUCCCUUCAGCAACCCUGUACGUCGGACAUGGCCCUUGCUGUAGCUGUUUUCCGGACGGAAGUGUUCACGGCUCCACAGAGCCCUGCCAGUGCCAUUCAGACCCAUCCCCAUCUGAGUCCCAGGAGCUAAACGCAUCUCGCAGCUGUGGUUCUCACUGGCUGACUCGCCCAGGAUUUGUCUUACAACCCUGUUCUAUUAAAUCAAGUUUCCUGGUGGGACGAAGAUAAGAAAUGUACUAGGAGAUGUAAGACACGUCAGAAAACAAGGCAGAGAGAUGUCAGAGUUCACGCGCCCUGAUACUCAAACAGUCACAGCAGGUAAAGGCUGAGUGCUCACUGUGCGCCUGCUGCUCUUCUAGGUGCGUUGUGCAUAUUAGCACCUUUCAACCUUACCAUCAUCGCCCGUGAGGCUUAUUACCCCAGUUUCACAAAUAUGACAACGACGGCACAGAGAAAUAAAGCAGCAGAAUCAAGAUGAAAUCAGGCCGUUGUGCCUCUUCGGGAGGCCCCCUACUCUACUCAGCUCCUCAGAGGUCCUCCUACCUGCACUCAGGAGCUAUCACCAGGCUUCUAAUUCAGUCAGGCAUGCC
This is a long non-coding RNA of Manis javanica (Malayan pangolin), 694 nucleotides long. RefSeq lists it as uncharacterized. NCBI's taxonomy places the organism in Eukaryota, Metazoa, Chordata, Mammalia, Pholidota, Manidae. The record is from RefSeq and is a predicted model, not a curated record.